Molecule: ribosomal RNA, 465 nt
Filed under: Vreelandella stevensii
Lineage: Bacteria; Pseudomonadati; Pseudomonadota; Gammaproteobacteria; Oceanospirillales; Halomonadaceae
Description: partial 16S ribosomal RNA
Rfam family: Bacterial small subunit ribosomal RNA
Source: RNAcentral
CCUACGGGUGGCAGCAGUGGGGAAUAUUGGACAAUGGGGGGAACCCUGAUCCAGCCAUGCCGCGUGUGUGAAGAAGGCCCUCGGGUUGUAAAGCACUUUCAGUGAGGAAGAACGCCUGGUGGUUAAUACCCAUCAGGAAAGACAUCACUCACAGAAGAAGCACCGGCUAACUCCGUGCCAGCAGCCGCGGUAAUACGGAGGGUGCGAGCGUUAAUCGGAAUUACUGGGCGUAAAGCGCGCGUAGGUGGCUUGAUAAGCCGGUUGUGAAAGCCCCGGGCUCAACCUGGGAACGGCAUCCGGAACUGUCAAGCUAGAGUGCAGGAGAGGAAGGUAGAAUUCCCGGUGUAGCGGUGAAAUGCGUAGAGAUCGGGAGGAAUACCAGUGGCGAAGGCGGCCUUCUGGACUGACACUGACACUGAGGUGCGAAAGCGUGGGUAGCAAACAGGAUUAUAUACCCUAGUAGUC